Molecule: long non-coding RNA, 819 nt
Filed under: Helianthus annuus (common sunflower)
Lineage: Eukaryota; Viridiplantae; Streptophyta; Magnoliopsida; Asterales; Asteraceae
Source: RNAcentral
AUGUUACCAAACCGUCGUAAAACGUGCCAUGAGAAAUUCAGUGUUUUGUAGACCCUUUGACCUAAUACAAACUUUAAAUAACUCACAAACGCAUUAUAUCCGAUUAUCCAUGACGAGACUUCAUCUUUAACACGCUACUUUCGUCUAUCUAAUACUUAUAUCAUUCAUAUACUUGCAUUCAUUUAGUGUCAAUUGUUCACCCCAUACUCCUAUUAUUCUCCAUUAUCCUUUCUUUCAUAUGAACCCCGUUCGCAAUCAAGCUUACACGGAACGUAACAUGACCCCAAGUAACGAAACGGACGUAAUGUGGUUAAAACAUGGUGGAUACGCCGCUGGUACUUCCUAUAUAUAAGUGUUUUCACCAUGUUACCAAACUUUCGUAAAACGUGCCAUGAGAAAUUCAGUGUGUUGCAGACCUUUUGGACCUAAUACAACUUCACGCAACUCACAAACGCAUUAUAUCCGAUUAUUCAUGACGAGACUUCAUCCUUAACACACUACGUUCAUCUAUCCAACACUUAUGCUAUUCACAUACUUGUACUCUUUAAGAGUCAUUCGUUCAUUCUAUACUCGUAUUAUUUUAUACAAAACUCGUUCGCAAUCCAGCUUGUUUAAACAUUUGAGUCCUAACUUACCUCGUUACCUAUAAAAUAGCCUCCCUAUUCUUGAUUCUUGUGAAACUAUACUUAGUAUACCUCUAUUGCUUUAUUUAAAGUAACAAACCUUUUCGUUCCUCUCAAUAAACAGGUUUUACGAAAGUAUGAUUUUUUUAUACUAUCCUUAAAAACUUCCCCUUGCAAAUCUACCUUGAUGUUCUCC